This is a long non-coding RNA of Lolium rigidum, 689 nucleotides long. RefSeq lists it as uncharacterized. The transcript has 4 exons. NCBI's taxonomy places the organism in Eukaryota, Viridiplantae, Streptophyta, Magnoliopsida, Poales, Poaceae. The record is from RefSeq and is a predicted model, not a curated record.
AUUGGAUUCAACUUCUAUAUUCUUUGAAGUUCAAGACCCAUCCCUCCUUCCUUCUAAGUCUGACACAGUUUCUCAGUCAAAAAUUAACAUGGAUCCAUGAUCAAGAUAUCCAUGUUAAUUUUUGACUUGCACUUGCAUCUGAUCGGAUAUGCAAUUCCAGUCAUAUGCCUCCUUUCUUGCAACUGCCUACAGUUUUGUCAGCGUGUGGUGGUAUUCACCAUUAUGUGGCUCCAUGGUUGGUCCCGUUUGGUGCCCAGCUGCUCGAUGUUGUUCUUCGAUGAUUGUAUGAGAAAUCCUCUGGCUGGCUUCUGAAGAAACUGAUGUCAUGUUCACAUGUUAGAACAUGGAUAGGUACUUCUGGAUUGUCCCUAAAUCCUGGGCAGAUGCAUACCAAAGAAUUUCUUCUAAUUGGUUAUCAUUUCUACACUCACCUGCAUGGUUAAAAUUCAGGUUGAGCUGGUUAAGCCUCCAAAAUAUGCAGCCGCGGGGGAGAAGCUGACCUUUGCUGGGUACUCGGGAUGAGCGUCGGAAGAUGAUGAGGAAGAAAUCCUAGACAAAAAAAAACAUGUUGCACUAGGCAGGUGAUUGCCGUGUUACAAACAGAAUCUAAGUUUGCUUGCCACUAUAAACACCGGAACUCACUCUGUUAGGCUCUUUGACCGUGCAAUGGUGCUUCUUUGGAAACUUCA